This 313-nucleotide ribosomal RNA is filed under the name uncultured bacterium. RNAcentral describes it as "bacterial SSU rRNA". It matches the Rfam family "Bacterial small subunit ribosomal RNA", at positions 28 to 334 of the family's 1533-position model. The record is from RNAcentral.
GGUGAACGCUGGCGGCGUGCUUAACACAUGCAAGUCGAACGAAGCACUUUGAAAGCUUGCUUUUAAAGUGACUGAGUGGCGGACGGGUGAGUAACGCGUGGGUAACCUGCCUCAUACAGGGGGAUAACAGUUGGAAACGACUGCUAAUACCGCAUAAUACCAUAGUGUCGCAUGGCACAUUGGUCAAACUUUUUGGGUGUGAGAUGGGCCCGCGUCUGAUUAGCUAGUUGGUGGGGUAACGGCCUACCAAGGCGACGAUCAGUAGCCGGCUUGAGAGAGUGAACGGCCACAUUGGGACUGAGACACGGCCCAA